CUGGACUGCAUCGCCUUGGAAAAAAAUUUACCCAGGCUCCAAAUCAGUAUAUUUGUACCAUAAUUCUAGAUGGAGACAGAAUGGUAGGACGGAUGGAGAUUUACAGAAGGUGGCUUUUCAUUCUGACACUUACUUUUGUCUUUGCUUGAGUGACAUGUGAAUCGGUUGCAGAAAUGUGUGUCAGCAGCGAACUAAGCCUCCAAGCUUCAAGGAGGUUUCUUACAAAAGUCGUCGGGAGCGGCUUUCUUGCUCAGUCCUGCCGAGAUUUUAAAAUUGUGCAACAAAAUAUAUUCUCCAGUUGACGGUGUGUACAUCAUGGCUCUCCAGUGGGAGAUUCUGCCUGUAAGGGAAUCUGGGGUCCUCCUGUGGCUCAGCUGGCAAAGAGUCUACCUGUAAUACAAGAGACCUGGGUUUGACCCCUGGGCUGGGAAGAUCCCCUGGAGAAGGGAACAGCUACC
Long non-coding RNA from Cervus elaphus (red deer), 458 nucleotides. RefSeq lists it as uncharacterized. The transcript has 3 exons. NCBI's taxonomy places the organism in Eukaryota, Metazoa, Chordata, Mammalia, Artiodactyla, Cervidae. The record is from RefSeq and is a predicted model, not a curated record.